AAUAGAUACCCAGGUAGUCCACGCCGUAAACGAUGGAUACUAGCUGUUUGAGCGCAAGUUUGAGUGGCUAAGCGAAAGUGAUAAGUAUCCCACCUGGGGAGUACGGGCGCAAGCCUGAAACUCAAAGGAAUUGACGGGGGCCCGCACAAGCGGUGGAGCAUGUGGUUUAAUUCGAUGAUACGCGAGGAACCUUACCAGGGCUUAAAUGUAGAUUGACGUAUUUGGAAACAGAUAUUUCUUCGGACAAUUUACAAGGUGCUGCAUGGUUGUCGUCAGCUCGUGCCGUGAGGUGUCAGGUUAAGUCCUAUAACGAGCGCAACCCCUGUUGUUAGUUGCCAGCGAGUAAUGUCGGGAACUCUAGCAAGACUGCCAGUGUAAACUGUGAGGAAGGUGGGGAUGGCGUCAAAUCAUCACGGCCCUUACGUCCUGGGCCACACACGUGCUACAAUGGCCGGUACAGAGAGCAGCCACUUAGCGAUAAGGAGCGAAUCUAUAAAGCCGGUCACAGUUCGGAUCGGAGU
RNAcentral lists this ribosomal RNA (521 nucleotides) under uncultured bacterium. Its description in RNAcentral is "bacterial SSU rRNA". It matches the Rfam family "Bacterial small subunit ribosomal RNA", at positions 777 to 1304 of the family's 1533-position model. The record is from RNAcentral.